AGCGUACACGGUGGAUGCCCUGGCAGUCAGAGGCGAUGAAGGACGUGCUAAUCUGCGAUAAGCGCCGGUAAGGUGAUAUGAACCGUUAUAACCGGCGAUUUCCGAAUGGGGAAACCCAGUGUGAUUCGUCACACUAUCAUUAACUGAAUCCAUAGGUUAAUGAGGCGAACCGGGGGAACUGAAACAUCUAAGUACCCCGAGGAAAAGAAAUCAACCGAGAUUCCCCCAGUAGCGGCGAGCGAACGGGGAGGAGCCCAGAGCCUGAAUCAGCAUGUGUGUUAGUGGAAGCGUCUGGAAAGGUGCGCGAUACAGGGUGACAGCCCCGUACACAAAAGCGCAUGUGCUGUGAGCUCGAUGAGUAGGGCGGGACACGUGGUAUCCUGUCUGAAUAUGGGGGGACCAUCCUCCAAGGCUAAAUACUCCUGACUGACCGAUAGUGAACCAGUACCGUGAGGGAAAGGCGAAAAGAACCCCGGCGAGGGGAGUGAAAAAGAACCUGAAACCGUGUACGUACAAGCAGUGGGAGCACAGGUUUACCUGUGUGACUGCGUACCUUUUGUAUAAUGGGUCAGCGACUUAUAUUCUGUAGCAAGGUUAACCGAAUAGGGGAGCCGGAGGGAAACCGAGUCUUAAUUGGGCGUUAAGUUGCAGGGUAUAGACCCGAAACCCGGUGAUCUAGCCAUGGGCAGGUUGAAGGUUGGGUAACACUAACUGGAGGACCGAACCGACUAAUGUUGAAAAAUUAGCGGAUGACCUGUGGCUGGGGGUGAAAGGCCAAUCAAACCGGGAGAUAGCUGGUUCUCCCCGAAAGCUAUUUAGGUAGCGCCUCGUGAAUUCAUCUCCGGGGGUAGAGCACUGUUUCGGCUAGGGGGCCAUCCCGGCUUACCAACCCGAUGCAAACUGCGAAUACCGGAGAAUGUUAUCACGGGAGACACACGGCGGGUGCUAACGUCCGKCGUGAAGAGGGAAACAACCCAGACCGCCAGCUAAGGUCCCAAAGUCAUGGUUAAGUGGGAAACGAUGUGGGAAGGCCCAGACAGCCAGGAUGUUGGCUUAGAAGCAGCCAUCAUUUAAAGAAAGCGUAAUAGCUCACUGGUCGAGUCGGCCUGCGCGGAAGAUGUAACGGGGCUAAACCAUGCACCGAAGCUGCGGCAGCGACGCUGAUGCGUUGUUGGGUAGGGGAGCGUUCUGUAAGCCUGCGAAGGUGACCUGUGAGGGUUGCUGGAGGUAUCAGAAGUGCGAAUGCUGACAUAAGUAACGAUAAAGCGGGUGAAAAGCCCGCUCGCCGGAAGACCAAGGGUUCCUGUCCAACGUUAAUCGGGGCAGGGUGAGUCGACCCCUAAGGCGAGGCCGAAAGGCGUAGUCGAUGGGAAACGGGUUAAUAUUCCCGUACUUGGUGUUACUGCGAAGGGGGGACGGAGAAGGCUAUGUUGGCCGGGCGACGGUUGUCCCGGUUUAAGCGUGUAGGUGUGUGUUCCAGGUAAAUCCGGUUCACUUUAACACUGAGGCGUGACGACGAGGCACUACGGUGCUGAAGCAACAAAUGCCCUGCUUCCAGGAAAAGCCUCUAAGCAUCAGGUAACAUCAAAUCGUACCCCAAACCGACACAGGUGGUCAGGUAGAGAAUACCAAGGCGCUUGAGAGAACUCGGGUGAAGGAACUAGGCAAAAUGGUGCCGUAACUUCGGGAGAAGGCACGCUGACACGUAGGUGAAGUGAUUUACUCAUGGAGCUGAAGUCAGUCGAAGAUACCAGCUGGCUGCAACUGUUUAUUAAAAACACAGCACUGUGCAAACACGAAAGUGGACGUAUACGGUGUGACGCCUGCCCGGUGCCGGAAGGUUAAUUGAUGGGGUCAGCGCAAGCGAAGCUCCUGAUCGAAGCCCCGGUAAACGGCGGCCGUAACUAUAACGGUCCUAAGGUAGCGAAAUUCCUUGUCGGGUAAGUUCCGACCUGCACGAAUGGCGUAAUGAUGGCCAGGCUGUCUCCACCCGAGACUCAGUGAAAUUGAACUCGCUGUGAAGAUGCAGUGUACCCGCGGCAAGACGGAAAGACCCCGUGAACCUUUACUAUAGCUUGACACUGAACAUUGAGCCUUGAUGUGUAGGAUAGGUGGGAGGCUUUGAAGUGUGGACGCCAGUCUGCAUGGAGCCGACCUUGAAAUACCACCCUUUAAUGUUUGAUGUUCUAACGUGGACCCGUAAUCCGGGUUGCGGACAGUGUCUGGUGGGUAGUUUGACUGGGGCGGUCUCCUCCUAAAGAGUAACGGAGGAGCACGAAGGUUGGCUAAUCCUGGUCGGACAUCAGGAGGUUAGUGCAAUGGCAUAAGCCAGCUUGACUGCGAGCGUGACGGCGCGAGCAGGUGCGAAAGCAGGUCAUAGUGAUCCGGUGGUUCUGAAUGGAAGGGCCAUCGCUCAACGGAUAAAAGGUACUCCGGGGAUAACAGGCUGAUACCGCCCAAGAGUUCAUAUCGACGGCGGUGUUUGGCACCUCGAUGUCGGCUCAUCACAUCCUGGGGCUGAAGUAGGUCCCAAGGGUAUGGCUGUUCGCCAUUUAAAGUGGUACGCGAGCUGGGUUUAGAACGUCGUGAGACAGUUCGGUCCCUAUCUGCCGKGGGCGCUGGAGAACUGAGGGGGGCUGCUCCUAGUACGAGAGGACCGGAGUGGACGCAUCACUGGUGUUCGGGUUGUCAUGCCAAUGGCACUGCCCGGUAGCUAAAUGCGGAAGAGAUAAGUGCUGAAAGCAUCUAAGCACGAAACUUGCCCCGAGAUGAGUUCU
RNAcentral lists this ribosomal RNA (2777 nucleotides) under Salmonella enterica subsp. enterica serovar Typhimurium. RNAcentral describes it as "bacterial LSU rRNA". The record is from RNAcentral. Lineage: Bacteria; Pseudomonadati; Pseudomonadota; Gammaproteobacteria; Enterobacterales; Enterobacteriaceae.